Molecule: long non-coding RNA, 693 nt
Organism: Rhineura floridana
Lineage: Eukaryota; Metazoa; Chordata; Lepidosauria; Squamata; Rhineuridae
Exons: 2
Source: RefSeq, a predicted model, not a curated record
GGGGGAUAAGGUUCUGAAAGUUGACAAGAUUUCACUGGUCUUUUAGAACUGUAUUUUAUGAGCGAAUCAGCUUUGAGGCAGGGAGCUCCUCCCCUCCUCCAAUCUGGCUUCCAGCAAAAAGUGGACCUUUCUUACUUCUCUGUCUGGCCCCAUCUGUAACAUGAGGAGAUAAUAAUUCUGUCCUGCCUUGCAGGCUGGUUGUUUAGGAUCAGAGAUAUGGCAAUAUAGGGUUGGGAGAGGUAAACGAGAGGGUGCCUUCAGGAGAAAACUGAACGAACACUUCAGCGACCUGCUUUAUAGAGUCUAUAUUUCCACUUUGAUCAUAUGCAUAUGUAUGCUUUCUCUCUGUUCUCUGAAGAAGAAGCCCAGUUGUAGAACACCUGCUCUGCAUGAAGAAGGUUCCGGGUUCAAUCCCCAAGUAGCACUGGGAAUGUCCCCCUGUCUGAAACCCUGAAGAGAUGCUGCCAGUCAGUGUUGACAGCACUGUGGUAGAUGAACCAAACAGUCUGACUCGGCGCUGUUUCUCCAUCGAUCUCGUUGCGCCCACUAGUGCUGCUGUCCCAGUGGGGACCGGCUUUUGGAGAUGCGAGCGAGGACAGCCGCAGUUUCUCGCUGAGCUGCGGAGAAGCCGCGAAAGACGAGCCGCUCUUGUCGACUCUCCCAGCAAGCUGAUUAGAUGCGGCCAUCUAGGGG